This 1352-nucleotide long non-coding RNA is filed under the name Anolis carolinensis (green anole). RNAcentral's name for it is "lncRNA (ENSACAG00000031910.2)". Lineage: Eukaryota; Metazoa; Chordata; Lepidosauria; Squamata; Anolidae. The record is from RNAcentral.
AUAUAUCAGGAGGGAAAGAAAGAAGGAGCGAAAAGGCCUGCAGACCAAGGAGAAGCAGCUAAGGCGGCUCUCAUAAAGGAAGGCCGAGAGCGAGGAAGGAGGUUUUCGGGCCCGGAGAAAGCGACCUUGGCGCCACAACAGACCGGAGGAAACCAAACCAGGCCAGGCCGCCCCCCGCUUUCGCUCACCUUGGCCUCAGGCGCGGAGGAGGGCCUCUCGACGUCCCCUCAGGCCGCCGGAAAUCUGGCUGGGCUGCCUGCGCACGGUACGUUACGUUACGUUACGUACAAGCGCUUCCCUUUCCUGAAGGGCGCCUUAGCGACGGCGCACACAAACCCCGCCCUCCCGUCACCGGAAGCGAGUGCUCUCGUGAGAGGUGGCCGAAAGGAGACAAGAUAUGAGAGAGAGAGAGAGAGAGAGAGCGAGAUCUCGCGCCGUCACGUGGUCUGCGUUUGUAUACAAGAAUCUUGCUUGCCUGCCACUGCCCAAAGAAUUGAAUAGAGCAAAGCUGGGAAAGAUUGGACACCCAUAUAUCAUCUCAUACAGGAUCAAGCUAUGGAUGCCCAUUAUUGUCUUAUUCAUGAUCACUGGGUUUCAAAGAGUGGUGCAAUGGGUUAAACCCUUGUGCCGUCUGAACUGCUGACCUAAAAGUUCAAAUCCACAAGACGGGGUGAGUUCUCGCCUGCCAGCUCUAGCUUCCAAUGCGAGGACAUGAGAGAUGUCUGCAGGAUGGUAACACAUCCGGGCGUCCCCUGGGCAACAUCUUUGAAGAUGGCCAAUUCUCUCACACCAGAAGUGACUUGCCUCAAUUUGCUUCUGACACGAAAAAAAACCAGGGUUCAGCAGCUGUACCAGCACCCUGGGAGGAUUGCCACCGAAGCCACUCCAUGAACUGGGAGGUUCUAUGAACUGAUAGACUGGUCUAUGGAGACAUCCACGCCCAAUCUAUUGACCUUGGCAGCAGGAGUAAUAAAGCUACUUAAUUGUAAAAUUGUUUUGUUUCUUUCAUAGUAUGUGUUUCCCCUUUCUCUUUAAUACACUUGUUAUGGCGCAAGUGGCGCCAUCUAUAUCUGGAACUGUAAGUUGCAAGAUUUGAAUUGUUGUAUCAUGCCCGAUUUUGCCUUUUUACCCUGUAAAUGUAGUUGGAUUGAUUGGUUAUUUAUAGCUGUCAAUCAAUGUUGUUUGCACCAGUUAUAUUGCUCCCUCAGCUCAAUUGUUUGUCUCCACCUUUUCCUGGAGUAGGACAGUGUUUCCUUUUUCAUUCCACCAUCAAGCUUUCUAUCAGAUGGACGUGAGAGAGAGACUUGGCUCUAAAAGCCCUUGAUUAAGUUACCUCUCAGCACCAAUUUUGA